CCUACGGGAGGCAGCAGUGAGGAAUAUUGGUCAAUGGCCGGAAGGCUGAACCAGCCAUGCCGCGUGAAGGUCAGUGCCCUAUGGGCGUUAAACUUCUUUUGUGCGGGAGCAAUAAUGGUCACGUGUGGCCAGACGAGAGUACCGUACGAAUAAGCAUCGGCUAACUCCGUGCCAGCAGCCGCGGUAAUACGGGGGAUGCAAGCGUUAUCCGGAUUUAUUGGGUUUAAAGGGUGCGUAGGCUGUGAGGUAAGUCAGCGGUGAAAUGCCUCCGCUCAACGGGGUGAAGUGCAAUUGAUACUGCCUGGCUGGAAUGCGGAUGCCGUAGGAGGAAUGUGUGGUGUAGCGGUGAAAUGCAUAGAUAUCACAAAGAACACCGAUUGCGAAGGCAUCUCACGAAUCCGCGAUUGACGCUGAUGCACGAAAGCGUGGGUAUCAAACAGGAUUAGAUACCCGGGUAGUC
RNAcentral lists this ribosomal RNA (460 nucleotides) under uncultured bacterium. RNAcentral describes it as "partial 16S ribosomal RNA". It matches the Rfam family "Bacterial small subunit ribosomal RNA", at positions 338 to 795 of the family's 1533-position model. The record is from RNAcentral.